RNAcentral lists this ribosomal RNA (274 nucleotides) under uncultured bacterium. RNAcentral describes it as "partial 16S ribosomal RNA". It matches the Rfam family "Bacterial small subunit ribosomal RNA", at positions 523 to 796 of the family's 1533-position model. The record is from RNAcentral.
AUACAGAGGGUGCAAGCGUUAAUCGGAAUUACUGGGCGUAAAGGGCGCGUAGGUUGUGAGUUUAGUCAGAUGUGAAAUUUCCGGGCUUAACCUGGAAAGGUCAUCUGAUACUGGCUGACUAGAGUACAGUAGAGGGAAGUGGAAUUUCCGGUGUAGCGGUGAAAUGCGUAGAUAUCGGAAGGAACAUCAGUGGCGAAGGCGACUUCCUGGACUGAUACUGACACUGAGGCGCGAAAGCGUGGGUAGCGAACAGGAUUGGAAACCCCAGUAGUCC